UCCAGACUCCUACGGGAGGCAGCAGUGGGGAAUAUUGCACAAUGGGGGAAACCCUGAUGCAGCAACGCCGCGUGAGUGAAGAAGUAUUUCGGUAUGUAAAGCUCUAUCAGCAGGAAAGAGAAUGACGGUACCUGACUAAGAAGCCCCGGCUAACUACGUGCCAGCAGCCGCGGUAAUACGUAGGGGGCAAGCGUUAUCCGGAUUUACUGGGUGUAAAGGGAGCGUAGACGGUGAAGCAAGUCUGAAGUGAAAGGCGGGGGCUCAACCCCCGGACUGCUUUGGAAACUGUUUGACUGGAGUGCAGGAGAGGUAAGUGGAAUUCCUAGUGUAGCGGUGAAAUGCGUAGAUAUUAGGAGGAACACCAGUGGCGAAGGCGGCUUACUGGACUGUAACUGACGUUGAGGCUCGAAAGCGUGGGGAGCAAACAGGAUUAGAUACCCCAGUAGU
RNAcentral lists this ribosomal RNA (447 nucleotides) under uncultured bacterium. RNAcentral describes it as "bacterial SSU rRNA". It matches the Rfam family "Bacterial small subunit ribosomal RNA", at positions 330 to 794 of the family's 1533-position model. The record is from RNAcentral.